AUCUAGCUGACGAGUCCCAAACAGGACGAAAGGCUAAUCCCGGAU
Molecule: non-coding RNA, 45 nt
Filed under: Schistosoma bovis
Lineage: Eukaryota; Metazoa; Platyhelminthes; Trematoda; Strigeidida; Schistosomatidae
Also listed under: 1 other name
Source: RNAcentral